CCUACGGGAGGCAGCAGUGGGGAAUAUUGGACAAUGGGGGGAACCCUGAUCCAGCGACGCCGCGUGAGUGAAGAAGUAUUUCGGUAUGUAAAGCUCUAUCAGCAGGGAAGAAAGAAAUGACGGUACCUGACUAAGAAGCCCCGGCUAACUACGUGCCAGCAGCCGCUGUAAUACGUAGGGGGCAAGCGUUAUCCGGAUUUACUGGGUGUAAAGGGAGCGUAGACGGCGAUGCAAGUCUGAAGUGAAAGGCGGGGGCUCAACCCCCGGACUGCUUUGGAAACUGUAUGGCUGGAGUGCAGGAGAGGUAAGUGGAAUUCCUGGUGUAGCGGUGAAAUGCGUAGAUAUUAGGAGGAACACCAGUGGCGAAGGCGGCUUACUGGACUGUAACUGACGUUGAGGCUCGAAAGCGUGGGGAGCAAACAGGAUUAGAUACCCCAGUAGUC
RNAcentral lists this ribosomal RNA (443 nucleotides) under uncultured bacterium. RNAcentral's name for it is "partial 16S ribosomal RNA". It matches the Rfam family "Bacterial small subunit ribosomal RNA", at positions 338 to 795 of the family's 1533-position model. The record is from RNAcentral.